AUGACAGUCGUAUAAAUUGAGUAUGUCGUCUUUCCAAGUCGAUGGUCUACCUGUUGUAGUUGUCUUA
Molecule: transfer RNA, 67 nt
Filed under: Uvitellina sp. SSS-2019
Lineage: Eukaryota; Metazoa; Platyhelminthes; Trematoda; Plagiorchiida; Cyclocoelidae
Description: tRNA-Glu
Source: RNAcentral